GCCAUGCAUGUCUAAGUACAAGCUUGUAUCAAGCGAAACUGCGGAUGGCUCAUUAAAUCAGUCAUGGUUCCUUGGAACGAGUUUCCCUACAUGGAUAACUGUGGUAAUUCUAGAGCUAAUACAUGCCACCAAGCGCCGACCUUACGGAAGGCGUGCUUUUAUUAGGAACAAGAUCAACCCGGCUCGUCCGGCUUCGUUGGUGAACUCUGGAUAACUUAGCAGAUCGCACGGUCAUCGUACCGGCGACAGAUCCUUCAAACGUCUGCCCUAUCAACUUUCGAUGGUACGUUAUGCGCCUACCAUGGUCGUAACGGGUAACGGAGAAUCAGGGUUCGAUUCCGGAGAGGGAGCCUGAGAAAUGGCUACCACAU
Molecule: ribosomal RNA, 371 nt
Filed under: Ophiacantha abyssicola
Lineage: Eukaryota; Metazoa; Echinodermata; Ophiuroidea; Amphilepidida; Ophiacanthidae
Also listed under: 2 other names
Description: SSU rRNA
Rfam family: Eukaryotic small subunit ribosomal RNA
Source: RNAcentral